Molecule: small RNA, 891 nt
Filed under: Pan troglodytes (chimpanzee)
Lineage: Eukaryota; Metazoa; Chordata; Mammalia; Primates; Hominidae
Description: retained intron
Source: RNAcentral
GGCGCAGGUGCAGCACCCCCUGCUGCAUUACCUCAGCGUCCACAGGCCUGUGCAGGUGAGGGGCCCGGAAGCCAAGGGGUGUCUGGGCAUGAGGCCCCCUCUCUCCCCUGCCACCCCUCUCCCCUCUGGUUCUGUCCUGGUGCUCUUCCAGAAACUCCUCCGACUUGGUGGGACUGCUUCCGGAUCCGUUACAGAAAAGGAGGAGGUGCAGUUCACCACCGUCCUCUGCUCCAAGAUCCAGCAGGACCCAGAGCUGCUCGCCUACAUCCUGGAAGGUAAAAAGAUUGUAGGUAGGAAGAAGGCAUGCGGAGAACCCACUGCCCUGCCUAAGGACACAACCAGCCACGGGGACAAGGACUGCUCCCACGAUGGUGCUCCUGCCAGGCCCCAGCUGGACGGGGAGUCCUUUGGGGCCCAGGCCUUGAACAGCCACAUGCCUGCUGAGACCGAGGAGCUGGACGGUGGGACCACAGAGAGCAACCUGAUUACCUCCCUGCUUGGGCUGUGCCAGAGCAAGAAGAGUCGGGUGGCCUUGAAGGCCCAGGAGAACCUGCUGCUCCUGGUGAGCAUGGCCUCCCCAGCAGCUGCCACCUACCUGGUACAGAGCAGCGCCUGCUGCCCUGCGAUCGUCCGGCACCUUUGCCAGCUGUACCGGUCCAUGCCUGUCUUCCUGGACCCCGCAGACAUUGCCGCCUUAGAGGGCAUCAGCUGGAGGUUACCCAGUGCCCCGUCUGAUGAGGCUUCCUUCCCUGGCAAGGAGGCCUUGGCUGCCUUCUUGGGCUGGUUUGAUUACUGCGACCACCUCAUCACAGAGGCACACACGGUGAGCAGGGGCGGGCGGAGGCCGGGCUCUCACGCUGUUCCCUGUACCAUCUCCAUCUCGAGGACCAA